Molecule: ribosomal RNA, 253 nt
Filed under: uncultured bacterium
Lineage: Bacteria
Description: partial 16S ribosomal RNA
Rfam family: Archaeal small subunit ribosomal RNA
Source: RNAcentral
UACCAGCACCCCGAGUGGUCGGGACGAUUAUUGGGCCUAAAGCAUCCGUAGCCGGUUCUACAAGUCUUCCGUUAAAUCCACCUGCUUAACAGAUGGGCUGCAGAGGAUACUAUAGAGCUAGGAGGCGGGAGAGGCAAGCGGUACUCAGUGGGUAGGGGUAAAAUCCGUUGAUCCACUGAAGACCACCAGUGGCGAAGGCGGCUUGCCAGAAUGCGCUCGACGGUGAGGGAUGAAAGCUGGGGGAGCAAACCGG